UUACAAGCGAAGACAGGGAAGAGUACGAUGCCAUCCUGCUUUUAGAGAGGGAAAUCAAUAGCUGAAAGAUUUCCUAAGAGGAACAUCGGAAGGUCGCCCAUGAGCUUCUUCUGUGAACAGGUUUAUGCCCUAAUAGCAGAAGACGGAUAAAAUCCGUUAUCUUAUUUGAGAGCCAAUCAUUAGAUUGGAAAAAAGGUGGUACCGCGAAUCAACUCCAUUCGUCCUUUUA
Molecule: non-coding RNA, 229 nt
Filed under: Bacillus sp. (in: firmicutes)
Lineage: Bacteria; Bacillati; Bacillota; Bacilli; Caryophanales; Bacillaceae
Description: Bacillus sp. T-box sequence
Rfam family: T-box leader
About the family: Uncharged tRNA acts as the effector for transcription antitermination of genes in the T-box leader family.
Source: RNAcentral